CGCGCUGAUGGUCUAUGGCCAGGUCUCGACCGGCUAUCGUUCGGGCGGGGUCAAUCCGCGUCCGUUCUAUCCCAGCCAGGUCGA
Molecule: transfer RNA, 84 nt
Filed under: Novosphingobium pokkalii
Lineage: Bacteria; Pseudomonadati; Pseudomonadota; Alphaproteobacteria; Sphingomonadales; Sphingomonadaceae
Description: tRNA-Asp
Source: RNAcentral